AUGUUGCACGUCUGCGGGGGGAUGAGAAGCCCCGACCGGGGUUCGACUGCUGGCGCAGCCAGCUGGACAGAUGACGAGCCUGUGAGGAAUCUGCCCGCAGGGCGAGCAAAGCGAGUCAAUCCCCCCCUCACCGCCA
Molecule: small RNA, 136 nt
Filed under: Citrobacter sp. wls717
Lineage: Bacteria; Pseudomonadati; Pseudomonadota; Gammaproteobacteria; Enterobacterales; Enterobacteriaceae
Description: RtT sRNA
Rfam family: RtT RNA
About the family: This family represents a bacterial cis-regulatory element known as RtT RNA. The exact function of RtT is unknown although it is thought that it may be involved in changing the cellular response in relation to amino acid starvation.
Source: RNAcentral